UAGGGAAUCUUCCGCAAUGGACGAAAGUCUGACGGAGCAACGCCGCGUGAGUGAAGAAGGAUUUCGGUUCGUAAAACUCUGUUGUUAGGGAAGAAAAAAUGUAUAGUAACUAUAUACAAAAGAGACGGUACCUAACCAGAAAGCCACGGCUAACUACGUGCCAGCAGCCGCGGUAAUACGUAGGUGGCAAGCGUUGUCCGGAAUUAUUGGGCGUAAAGGGUACGUAGGCGGAUAAGCAAGUUAGAAGUGAAAUCCUAUAGCUCAACUAUAGUAAGCUUUUAAAACUGCUCAUCUUGAGGUAUGGAAGGGAAAGUGGAAUUCCUAGUGUAGCGGUGAAAUGCGCAGAUAUUAGGAGGAAUACCGGUGGCGAAGGCGACUUUCUGGCCAUAUACUGACGCUGAGGUACGAAAGCGUGGGUAGCAAACAGG
RNAcentral lists this ribosomal RNA (428 nucleotides) under Verrucomicrobiota bacterium. RNAcentral's name for it is "Verrucomicrobia bacterium partial 16S ribosomal RNA". It matches the Rfam family "Bacterial small subunit ribosomal RNA", at positions 355 to 776 of the family's 1533-position model. The record is from RNAcentral. Lineage: Bacteria; Pseudomonadati; Verrucomicrobiota.